Molecule: long non-coding RNA, 433 nt
Filed under: Mytilus galloprovincialis (Mediterranean mussel)
Lineage: Eukaryota; Metazoa; Mollusca; Bivalvia; Mytilida; Mytilidae
Source: RNAcentral
CAAAGGUAUGAUGAGGCCUCAUUUUUUGUCAAAAAUUUGAAUUACACAUUAAGUAAUAUAAAUGAUAUUUUUCAUUUCGAAAUAAGAAUAGAGUAGGAAUGGAUCUGAGAAAUAAGACAUUAUGUAUGAUUUGUACUGAGUGCAGAUUAAAAUAAUUGUUUAAAUUCAGACUGGUCUGCAAGACUUGAAAUUAGAUGUACAUAUUAUUAUAUUUUCCCCCUCCAAUAAAUAGCUAAAGUUCUUUAAUCAAUACAAUUAUCACCAGUUGAAAGAAAAUUCUUCUGUCUGUACUUUGUGAUGUGGCUUUAAUGAUCUUUUAUAAAUCCUAACUUGUGUUAUUGUUUUAUUUUUCAUCAGAAUUAUAAACCUGUUUGUUAAGUCAUAUUUUUUGUUUUUGUUUUGUUUAAUGAAAUCUAUAUGUUAGCAAUUGUCA